RNAcentral lists this transfer RNA (88 nucleotides) under Streptomonospora nanhaiensis. Its description in RNAcentral is "tRNA-Arg". The record is from RNAcentral. Lineage: Bacteria; Bacillati; Actinomycetota; Actinomycetes; Streptosporangiales; Nocardiopsidaceae.
GCAGGUAGCGGCAAUAUUCGGGGGUGGUCGACAUCAAACCAGGCAACUUCUAAUCCGACGGUCGCAGGUUCGAAUCCUGCCAGAUGCG